AUAAUGCUCACAUGGGAUCCACCCACUCACAAGAUGCCUAAUGGGACCCAUCCACUAAGAAGAUGCUCAAUGGGGCCCACAUAUCACAAGGUGCUCAAUGGGGCCCAUCCACUAGCAAGAUGCCCAAUGGGGCCCACUUCCCACUCUCAAUUUGCCUAUAUAAGGAGGCAUUUGUAAUGAAAGAAAGAAGCCUUCCACAACGUUCAAGCCUUGCAUAAGAGCUUUCAACAACGUUCAGAAGCAAACUCUCAGCCUUCUCCCUUUACUGAUAUUGUAAUUUUCCAUUUUCUUUUGCAACCUUUCCCUUUUCUUUUCAACUUGUAAUCUUUUGGUGUGCUUAGUAUCUACCUGAAACUUUAUUCAGGGGGUACAUAUAUGUGAAUUAAGCUCAAGUAUCUGUAAGUUUUUAUUUCUUGUUUUUAAAUUUUGUUUUUAAAUUUUAUGUGAAUAAAGUUUCAGUUUCUUCUUCUGUUUUCUUGUUUUGUUUUCUUGUUUUUAAUUCUCUAUUUUCUGUUCUUUAAUUUAUGUUUUAGAUUUCUGUAAUUUUCGCUGUUUUGUCUUAGUUUAUUAAUUCUAUUUAUAAUCCUGGUUUAAAAUUGGUAUUAGAGCCAUGUCAGCGUAAAUUAUAUAUAUUUCAAACCUAGUACUGGGUUUAUGUAACACACUGUUAGGAAGAAAAUGGUAGGUAGUACUUGUAAACAAUGCAGUAUAGUGUUUGAAAGCAUAAGUGCAAUUACUUGUGUACAGUAGUUUUGGGAUACACUGAAUAGAAUCAAAGUAUGACUUAUGCAAUUGUUUUGGAAAUGUACCUCUACUCAAGCCAACAAAAUCAAGUAUAUAUAUAUAUAUAUAUCCCUUUAUCGGUUAGGCCUAACAAUUCGUCUUCUCUCUGCACAACAAAAGACAUUUGUCAGUUCAUAUUAACUUAACAACAAUGACAACUAAAUUUAUGCAAAUGCAUCAAGGAAUAAUAAAUCUGGUCAAUGCUAAACAUUGUCAGUAGGAGUGACCAUCUAAACUACAACCUUACUUAAAAAAUAGCUUCACCAGGUGAAAAAAAAGGUACAAACAAGCAACAUGUUGCACAACUUGAGAAUUUAGGUUCAUAUUCUAUUAUAAGCAAUGUACCUAAACAAUUUGAUCUAAUUGAACCCUAUAAUGUCUGUCAUCAUUUAUAAAAUCCAUCAACAAAGAUCCAAUACUAAAUGUCUGACUAGGUAUGUAAGUUUUCUUGAAAUUAAUGCAAUGAUACAUUUUAUGAAAAAAAAAUUAACUUAUAUGGCCUUCUCUCAAUGUCGCCCCAAACCCCCAACUUAUCAAUCCGGAAGCACUUCCCGUUUCCGCUCACAUUAAAUGAUAAAAGGAUGAUUAUCAUGUAGGAUUCCAUCUCAUGGAAUCCUCCUCCUCCUCAUGUCAUUAAAUUUUGGGCUAUUUUGUAUUUAGUCCCCCUAGAAGAUUGUUAAUUAGCAAAUGGUCCCGAGUUUUUCGUUUAUUUGUAAAUAAUUCUUUUUUCUGUCAAUUGACUCUUAGUCAACUCAGUUGACCAAAGUCAACCCAUCCAAUUUUUUUUAAUGUCUAAACUACCCAUGCACGUGUUUUCCACGUGACACUACUUAAACCAUUAAACCAUUUUUUGGUUUUGUAUUAUCCACGUGUCGAGAUUUCAUUGGUUAUCAGAAUCUAUGGUUAGAUAUUACGCCACGUGUUUCAUACAGUAGUCGAGGAUCUGGAUUCAAUCAAAACAUAUUCUAAAAGGACUAAGUCCCAAAACCCUAAGUUUCUUUCUCUUCUACCUUACACUAAACAGCCACCGCCACCGUUGCUUUCAACCACCACCUUUAACCUUAUUCCACCACCACCACCUUUAACCUUAUUCCACCAUUAUCAACUCUUCUUUCUCCAUCGUUCAUUAAUUCCAUUCACAAUCCCCUCUGUAAUACCAGCUUUCCCAACAUUCAAUUUCGUCUUCAACGCAAUCCCAAGUGUAGUCAACCUCUUCAACUCCGUCCUUGAAAGUUUCAAUUCAACUAAAGUUGGUACUCUUGGUUCUUUCUUAACCAACUUCUUCUCCUCCUCCUUAACUUCUUUCUUCCUCGAUAUCGAAACCCCAGAACCCAGUUCAGGUACUGGAUUUUGUGGUGUACUCCAACUUGAAUCGAUAGUAUAACCAACACGAUUUUUCGAUAAUUGUUCAGGAAAUGGAAGAAAAAUUUCACCAGCAGAGUUAUUAUUAGUAUUACUGGUUUGGGUUUGUUCAGAAUUUUUCUGUUCUUCAAUGUAACCAAGACUUCUAAGCUUAUCUGCAAUUCUUUUAAUGGCAGUUUGGCUUCAGUUUGGUUGUUAUUUGUAGUAGAAGAGCUAUUAAUAAUAAAUUUAAAGGGUUUAAGGGUUUGGGGAUAGAGAUUUGGUGAUGGGAAGAAGAGAGGGAAAUGGGUUUUGUUGGAAAAUGAAGAGAGUGAUGUGGGGUGUGGAAGAAACAUUUGAAUUGAUAGAGAAAUGCUUGGAAAUGGCAAUCUCUCUCUAUCUCUAUCUCUAUCUCUCUCUGUUUCUACUUCAUGUGUGAGGCUCUUUUGUUGGGGUUUAUGGUUGUGGAUGAGAUUUAAAAUUGGGCUUUGUAGGAUUUCAUUUUCUGUCAACUUUGUUACUACAUGAUGAAGCCAUGAAGAAUUGAUGAUGGAAUUCAUGAACGAUGGAGAAAGAAGAGUUGAUAAUGGUGGAAUAAGGUUAAAGGUGGUGGUGGUGGAAUAAGGUUAAAGGUGGUGGUUGAAAGCGGCGGUGGCGGAAUAAGGUUAAAGGUGGUGGUGGUGGAAUAAGGUUAAAGGUGGUGGUGGAAUAAGGUUUAAGUAGUGUCACGUGGAAAACACGUGCAUGGGUAGUUUAGACAUUAAAAAAAAUUGGAUGGGUUGACUUUGGUCAACUGAGUUGACUAACAGUCAAUUGACAGAAAAAGGAUUAUUUACAAAUAAACGAAAAACUCGGGACCAUUUGCUAAUUAGCAAUCUUCUAGGGGGACUAAAUACAAAAUAGCCCUUAAAUUUUCAAGUUCUUGUACUUCCCAUUCAUAUAACCAGUCUAUCAUCUUCAAGUUCCACCCAUGAUUUUCUGUAGUGGAAUUCCAGAUACUGCUACACCCCCAUGCUUAUCUAUUGCCCUCAAAUAGAUGCCAGGGAAAGCCUCUCUUAAAGUAACUUCACCACACCACUUAUCUGCCCAAAAUUUGAUUCUGGUUCCUUUCCCUAAAUUAAAAGCUGCACAUUAUAUUCUACAAGUUUUUGUUCUACUGCAUAACUCUGCUUUACAUCUUUAGUAAACCAAUUAUAGUUGUCGACUCGUUGUUCCAUACUUUGCUUGAAUCACCUGCUUCCAUAGUUUGUCCUUAGUUUUCUUCUCCAUAUAUCUGUAGCCAUCCUAGCUACCUAAUAAUGCUUCAUUCAUCUCCUUCAGUUUGGAUUUGGGGAAGAGAAGAGAAAAGGUUUUUAUUAUAGAGAAGAUGAGAGGCAGCGGAUGAGUUUUUAUUAAAGAGAAGAGAGUUUAUAUAUGAACACUUUAACCGAUUGAAAUUGCAACGCUGCACGUGUUAAAACCAUGCCACGUUACCUUUUCUUUUUCAGUUACCUAAAAUUUUUGCAACGAUAACUGGGGUUUCAAGUAUAAUAGUAACGCGUAAGAAAAUAAUAUAUUUAUAUUUUCAGUGUUUUGGACCCAAGGACAAAAUAUAAGGUUUUAUUAGGCCCAAGGACAGCAACAACGUUUCAUUAGACUCAAGGACAAAUCUAUUUAAUGAUGAAUAUAUCCCUGUUGGUGUUUUAACAACUACAAAAAAAUCUAACAACGUGGGACGGGUUUUUUUUUUUUUAUUUUCAAAUAAAACCCUAAUUUCUUUCUUUCUCUCUCUCUUUCUCUAUCUCAUCUCUACUGCAAAAACAACAAUUACGACUUGAUUUCUUAGGUUUUUCUUCAAUUUUUUAAGAUUUUCUUCAUUAAAAGUCUGAUUUUCUUUAGAAUUGAACAAAAAUCUAGGUUUUUGAAAGCCAAAACACCUAGAUCUACAAUGGUAAGAAAAAAAAACAAGUCCCAAAAAGUACAAAUCAUCAUGGAACAAAGAGAAACGAAAGGAUGAUAAUACAACACAAGAACAAAAAACUUUUGAUUUUGAAGAAGAAAUUUCUGAUUUUGAGGUAAGUCAGGUUUUAGAAUUAUAAUUUUAAUGUAAAUUUUUUUCUUGAAUAACUUCUACAUCACAUGUUCUUGCAUAAUUACUUCACAAUUUCUAAUUUUUUAUGUAAAUUUUCUUUGAUGUUAAAUUCAAUUUCAGUUUUAGUUGAUUAGUAAAUUUAAUCAACAUGUUCUUGCUUAAUUUUACUUCACGAUUAUUGGGUUUUUUUAUAUAAAUUGUAAAUUAUUUUUGAUGUUAAAUUAUAAUUGAUUAAAACAUUAAAUCAACUAUCAAACUGGUGUAAGCAAUUUAUAUCAUACUAUCUGUUGAUUGGUAUAUUAAUCAAUUAAUUAUAUGAUUUUAUCUUUUCUGUUUAGCUGAUUAAUAUAUUAAUCAACUAUAACUUUAGUUGAUUACUAUACUAAUCAACGCACGUAAUAGUUGAUUGAUGCAUUAAUCAACUAAUUAAUUGAUUUUAUCUUUUCUGUUCAGGUGAUUAAUGUAUUAAUCAACUAUAAUUAU
This 4678-nucleotide long non-coding RNA is filed under the name Aquilegia coerulea. RNAcentral describes it as "long non-coding RNA (ACOE_LNC002122)". The record is from RNAcentral. Lineage: Eukaryota; Viridiplantae; Streptophyta; Magnoliopsida; Ranunculales; Ranunculaceae.